UACGGAGGAUCCGAGCGUUAUCCGGAUUUAUUGGGUUUAAAGGGUGCGCAGGUUGUUUGAUAAGUCAGUGGUGAAAGUCUGUCGCUUAACGGUAGGAUUGCCAUUGAUACUGUUGGACUUGAAUAUGGAUGAGGUAGGCGGAAUGUGUAGUGUAGCGGUGAAAUGCAUAGAUAUUACACAGAACACCGAUUGCGAAGGCAGCUUACUAAUCCAUAGUUGACGCUGAGGCACGAAAGCGUGGGGAUCAAACAGGAUUAGA
This 259-nucleotide ribosomal RNA is filed under the name uncultured prokaryote. Its description in RNAcentral is "partial 16S ribosomal RNA". It matches the Rfam family "Bacterial small subunit ribosomal RNA", at positions 524 to 782 of the family's 1533-position model. The record is from RNAcentral.